GCAUGGGCCCAGUCUAUAAAUGGAAAGGAGGAUGAGGAAUUAAACUUUUGACGAGGAAAUAUCUAGAAGAAGCAUAACAAGAGAAUAAACCAAUGGAGAGUAGCAAUAGAAAAGGAAAAUCUUCUGCAUUGCACGUUAAACGGAAUGCAAUAUGUUAAGCAGCAUGGGAGUCGACCAUGGGAAGCACUAACCCGUCAAAAAAUAUUGUUGCUCGUUACAAGGUCAAGAAGGCCUUAGAGUUUUGUAUAAUACUCAAAAACUCGUCUUGGAGAGAGAAAAAGUUUAAAGGGGGACACAUCUGUCCUGAAGGAUACAUCCACAUUGGUUUACUCUCCUCUUACCUUCCUUUUGCUGGUUUUAGCUUCUUGCAAUGAAUUUGUACUCCCUUCAUUUUUUCAAUGAGAUAGGUGAAACUUCUCUCACCCAUUUUCUUAGAAAAAAAAGCUGACUCAUGAAUAUUUGCUCUCUCUAGAACCUUCGAAAAUAAUGCGACUCUUUAUAUUGGUGAAAGCACCUACUGUUGGACUUUGGAAUUGGCCAAUAAAGUGGCACUUGCCUGCAAAGUGAGAUCCAUGGAACUCUUGAAAAUUCCUUUUCUCAGGAAAACAAAACUGGUGCAUGAAUACUUGCUAUCUUUCGAACCUUCGAAAUUAAUGCGACUCUUUAAAUUUGUGCAUGCAUGCGCUCUUGAGUCUUGAACUAUAAUUCCUUUUUCUCCAAAAGAAAAUCUGACAAUAUAAAUGCUUACUCCUCUCUCUCUCUCUCUCUGCUUCGAAAUUAAUGCGACUCUAAUACAUUUGUAAAUGCAUGUGUUAUUGAAAUUUUAAAAUUGGUUAACAAAGUGAUGGCUGCCUGCUCCAUGAGAUAUCUGGAACUCUUGAGUGUUCCUUUUCUCAACAAAAAAACCCAACUUUGAACGGAUGCAUGAAUACUUGCUCUCUCUCCCCCUCUCCCUCUCUCCCUCUCUCGGACCUUCGAAUUUUAAAGCAACUCUUUAAUGAAUUUUAAUGCGUGUGCUAUUGAACUUUUAAACAGGUCGCCGAAGUGGCGCUUGUCCGCCAAUUUAGUGAGAACUACAAUAAUAUAUAGCAUCAAUAAUGCAGUAAUAUCCACCCACUGAUAUCUCUAUCACUCUCAAACCUUCGAUAAUUUUCACAUUUCAUCGAUAGAGUGCCAUGCAUUUGCAUGACAAAUUAAAAAUCAGAUAAAAAGAACAGUACAAGAGCAUAAUGCAUUAACUCGUUGCUUCAGGCCGGUCAGUCGACGCUGGUCUCCGGACAGGAGGGAUACCGCUCGAUCGAGGCUUGAGGGCUGCUCGGAUGGCGCCGGAGAGGAGGGAAGAGGAGGAGAUCCUCGGACGGAGGCCAAGCUAGAGAAUCAGUAAAAUUUGGAAGAAACACCAACGAACACACGAACAAGAGGAGGUGGAGAAGGAGGAGAACA
This 1443-nucleotide long non-coding RNA is filed under the name Phoenix dactylifera (date palm). Its description in RNAcentral is "long non-coding RNA (PDAC_LNC013283)". Lineage: Eukaryota; Viridiplantae; Streptophyta; Magnoliopsida; Arecales; Arecaceae. The record is from RNAcentral.